UAAUAAUUAAAUUGUGACACCUUGAACUUGCGGCUGACACCAUGAAUCACAGUGGAAUUCUCCAAAUGGAAUGCAGCCACACCUCAGCUUCUGUGCUGCGUGCUGCCACUGAGGACGUUCAAUACCAUUGAAGCCGUCAGAUAGAGGAUGAAGACGGAUGGCCUCUUGGCACCCAUCUCUUUGGCACGAACGAUGUGGGGAAACGUGAAUGGAAAUGGGGAACUGCUGCUGGCACCCAGAAGUCAUCCGGUCUGGAUGAAGCCAAGUCACACGAAAGUGCCUCCAAUUAUUCUUCAUAAAUUCCUCUGAGGUUUCACUUCUUGUCCACACAAGACUUUAAUAAAAUGUGGCAUCUAACUGAAUAAA
Gorilla gorilla gorilla (western lowland gorilla) is the source of this 366-nucleotide long non-coding RNA. RefSeq lists it as uncharacterized. The transcript is spliced from 2 exons. Lineage: Eukaryota; Metazoa; Chordata; Mammalia; Primates; Hominidae. The record is from RefSeq and is a predicted model, not a curated record.